UACGUAGGGUGCGAGCGUUAUCCGGAAUUAUUGGGCGUAAAGAGCUCGUAGGCGGUUUGUCGCGUCUGCCGUGAAAGUCCGGGGCUUAACUCCGGAUCUGCGGUGGGUACGGGCAGACUAGAGUGAUGUAGGGGAGACUGGAAUUCCUGGUGUAGCGGUGAAAUGCGCAGAUAUCAGGAGGAACACCGAUGGCGAAGGCAGGUCUCUGGGCAUUAACUGACGCUGAGGAGCGAAAGCAUGGGGAGCGAACAGG
RNAcentral lists this ribosomal RNA (253 nucleotides) under uncultured microorganism. RNAcentral describes it as "partial 16S ribosomal RNA". It matches the Rfam family "Bacterial small subunit ribosomal RNA", at positions 524 to 776 of the family's 1533-position model. The record is from RNAcentral.